GACGAACGCUGGCGGCGUGCUUAACACAUGCAAGUCGAACGGAAAGGCCCUGCUUUUAGGGUACUCGCGUGGCGAACGGGUGAGUAACACACGCGUGAUCUGCCCUCCUCUUCGGGAUAAACCUCUGCAACUGGGUCUAAUACCUGAUAGGUGCCAUUUUUAGUCUCAUGGUUGGAUAGUGUUUUCGGUGUUGGGUGAGGUGGCUGGCUAUCUCCUUGUUGGGGGGGUAAUGGGCUACCAAGGCGGCUGCGGGUAGCCGGCCUGAGGGGGUGGACCGCCAUAAUGGGGCCGAGGUAAGGCACAGAAAGGUAAGGGAGGGAAAAGGGGGGAAUAUUGCAGAAGGGGCGCAAGGCUGGUGAAGAGAGGCCGCGUGGGGGAAGACGGUCUUCGGGGUGUAAAACACAUUUGGAAGGGACGAAGCUUUUUGUGACGGUACCUAGAUAAGAAGCAACGGCUAACUACGUG
This 465-nucleotide ribosomal RNA is filed under the name uncultured bacterium. RNAcentral describes it as "partial 16S ribosomal RNA". It matches the Rfam family "Bacterial small subunit ribosomal RNA", at positions 28 to 507 of the family's 1533-position model. The record is from RNAcentral.